This 164-nucleotide ribosomal RNA is filed under the name Centrapalus pauciflorus. RNAcentral describes it as "5.8S ribosomal RNA". It matches the Rfam family "5.8S ribosomal RNA". From Rfam's summary of the family: 5.8S ribosomal RNA (5.8S rRNA) is a component of the large subunit of the eukaryotic ribosome. It is transcribed by RNA polymerase I as part of the 45S precursor that also contains 18S and 28S rRNA. The record is from RNAcentral. Lineage: Eukaryota; Viridiplantae; Streptophyta; Magnoliopsida; Asterales; Asteraceae.
CAAACGACUCUCGGCAACGGAUAUCUCGGCUCACGCAUCGAUGAAGAACGUAGCAAAAUGCGAUACUUGGUGUGAAUUGCAGAAUCCCGUGAACCAUCGAGUUUUUGAACGCAAGUUGCGCCCAAAGCCAUUCGGUUGAGGGCACGUCUGCCUGGGCGUCACAC